Long non-coding RNA from Rhinolophus ferrumequinum (greater horseshoe bat), 2769 nucleotides. RefSeq lists it as uncharacterized. NCBI's taxonomy places the organism in Eukaryota, Metazoa, Chordata, Mammalia, Chiroptera, Rhinolophidae. The record is from RefSeq and is a predicted model, not a curated record. The transcript is spliced from 3 exons.
GACUACUUUUCCCAUCGUGGCUCUGAUCUGCUUUUGGAAACGGAAGGAGACAGAGGAUAUGGAAUGGAUUGUUUACACCGAUGCAGUGUCGUCAUGGGAACCUGGCGGGGGUGGGGUCACGGGGCAUGAAGACAAGCCCCGCCCCCUGGGGGGCGAGGAGAAGUUAGAAGCACAAAAGUGGAGAAAGGCCGGGGAGGAUGCACGGUUAGGCAGGUGUUUACCUGGUGUCCUGCGAAUGCCACAUAAAUGCUUGUUGGCCGAGUACAAGGUGCAGACUGUAUCUCUGUGACCGUGUCACAGCACCCAGCACGACACCACCAGCAUGAUACAGUGGGUGGGUGGCUGGAGGAUGGAUGGACGGUCGGACGAGAGAAGGUAAAUGGUCACCUCUGACAUUUACCUUCAUUCCAAAGGAACUACAAGAAUCCUUUUCAGUGCACAAAAGCCCUGGUCAGAUGCUAAAACCCAGUGGACAGUGGAGUCUGUUCUUGUCAGUCCAAGCCCAGAACCUCAGAGCACCUGGCCUCCAGGAGACACAAGGGACUUGACACACACAGUAAGGCGGAGUUUAUUCUUCCUCACUUCUUGCUGAUGGGGAUGGGCAGGCAUCGCAAUGAGGUGAAGAGCUGUGCCUGGAGAAUCACCCCUUAGCGGACAGCAACGAUGUAAGAAUGUCGGAAUGACUGGGGCGUUCGGCUGGCGGAUGGAAGACCACGGAAUCCCAGCUGCAGUGGUUUUGCCCAUAGACCACCAGCCCUGACGACAUCAAUAGAAGGCCAUUGGUGGGCCGAGGAGGCUCCUGCUGAGAGUGAGGUUCACAUGGGACUCUGUUGGGCCCGUGCACAUUAUUGUGCUUUUCAAGUUUUUAUUUUGAAACUUCCACACAGUAAAAUGUUCUCUUUUUGGUGUACAGGUUUGACACUGAGGCAGAUAACCAUCGCCACACACACAGGGUACGGACAGUUCCAUCACCCCUCCGACUCCCGCAGGCUAUCCCUAGUCAAACCCCCUCCUCCACCGACGCCCCCUAAACCCCUGGUGACCAUGGAUCUGUUCUCCACCCCUACACUUUUGCCUUUUCCAGAAUGUCACAUAAGUGGAAUCAGUCAGGACGUAGCCUUUUGCAUCUGGCUUCUCCACAUGGCACAAUGCGUUUGAGAGGCACAUUAUUUUAUCAGCUUUGUGGGAAUACUCUACAGAGAGUUACUCAUCCAUUCUGCCACCCAGCCCCCUCUGGCCAGGGAGGUUUUAAAAAUGUCUGUCAACCCUCUGCAAGCUUAUUUUUGAAGGCGUCCCCAUAGCACUGCAAACAUAUUAAAAGGCAGCCCUUUUUCAUGUUCAAGAUUAUUUUUUUCCUAUAAUUUUUUUGAAAAGAUCUUUAGAAUUUGCUUUUGAAUUUAUCUGAUUUUGUGAUUGUCUGUGACUCUUCACUAAUUAUGAGAAACUGAUUUUUUUUCGGGUCUCAAACAUUUCUGUGGGCCCCUGAAAAGUCUAAGACCCUGGGCACCAUGCCCAAGUGCUUGACAGAGCCCCACAAGAACUCCAUGGCUAAAGGUAUCAAUCACAGUUCCAACCUACACCAGUGAGAGAAGGGAGUGGAAGACUGCUUUCUCUGAAUCAUCACAAUGCCCGUUCUAAACAAACAAAAAAAAAUUGUAUGGCACAGUUCUUUUUAAAGAGUUUAUCUCACAAACAUACAUACUGUGUACAAAUGUAUGUGCAAACGUGUUCACCACAGAAAUACCGCUCAUAGUAUCGGUAAGAGUCUAUUAAUAAGGGAUUGCUUCCACUGCAGCACAUCAUGUAGGGAGUACUAUGCAGCCACGAAAAAGGGCGAGGUAGAUCCAUACAUGCUAACACAUUGAGAUUUUCACUAGUGAAAACACAAGGUGCAGGAAAACAAUGUAGAGUCUGAUUACAUUUCUGUAAAAAUAAGUCAUUCUAGUUUAAAAUGUUAGAAAAUGCAUAGGAAAAAAACUGGAAGGCAUACACCAAAUAUAACCACGGUUACCUCCAAGGGAGGUUUUCUGUACAUAUGUGUGGUUGGCAGGGUGGGUGGGGGGGGCUUUCCUUAUUUACUUUGAUGAACAUGAAUUUUUUUAUACCAUGAGCAUAUAUUAUUUUGGUAAUCAGGAAAAUUCAGGAAGUAUUACUUUAAACAACCCAACCACAAGCAGAUGAAUUAAUGUUCUGAAUUUCCAAGCACGUUGAGGAUGAGCGUUAGAUUGGUCUUGGGUUAGCAGUUUCCUUGUCCCUUUCUCUCACAGUUAAAACCACCUAAGCAAAAACUCAUCCUUCCUUUUCUUUCUACAACCAAACUCUCUCCCACUCAGCAAUAAUCAUCCACAAAAACCAAGAUUAUGUUGGCUGAGAGGUUUCUGGAAAACAAGACUUUCACACAGGGAAGUUGAAAGAGUGCCUUGGUUGAGAAGGGAGUCUGGAGGGCCAAGCUAGCAUUCAAGUUCUGUGUGACAUCUCAAGAACUCCCAAACCAACUACCAUGUGUCUGCUCCACAGAGGCCCUUCCUGUCCAGGAAGACCCUCGAACACUGUGCGUCACCACGGCGAUAACAUGCUGUGCACAUAAACACGCACCCACGAAGCACCACGUCCACAUUCAUUCUAACGAGGUACUGGAUGCUGUCCCAGAGAUUUGGGGACCAACAGAAAUGUGCAGAACCACAAGUCAAAAGGACCUCAUGAGAGAGAACACCAGGAUGGUGACGGAGCUGGGAAGGGCCAAGUCCGUCCAUUCAGUGUCCCGUUGGC